Molecule: ribosomal RNA, 251 nt
Filed under: uncultured bacterium
Lineage: Bacteria
Also listed under: 1 other name
Description: partial 16S ribosomal RNA
Rfam family: Bacterial small subunit ribosomal RNA
Source: RNAcentral
ACGUAUGGUGCAAGCGUUAUCCGGAUUUACUGGGUGUAAAGGGAGCGUAGACGGAGUGGCAAGUCUGAUGUGAAAACCCGGGGCUCAACCCCGGGACUGCAUUGGAAACUGUCAAUCUAGAGUACCGGAGAGGUAAGCGGAAUUCCUAGUGUAGCGGUGAAAUGCGUAGAUAUUAGGAGGAACACCAGUGGCGAAGGCGGCUUACUGGACGGUAACUGACGUUGAGGCUCGAAAGCGUGGGGAGCAAACAG